CCUACGGGGGGCUGCAGUAGGGAAUCUUCGGCAAUGGACGAAAGUCUGACCGAGCAACGCCGCGUGAGUGAAGAAGGUUUUCGGAUCGUAAAGCUCUGUUGUAAGUCAAGAACGUGUGUGAGAGUGGAAAGUUCACACAGUGACGGUAGCUUACCAGAAAGGGACGGCUAACUACGUGCCAGCAGCCGCGGUAAUACGUAGGUCCCGAGCGUUGUCCGGAUUUAUUGGGCGUAAAGGGAGCGCAGGCGGUCAGGAAAGUCUGGAGUAAAAGGCUAUGGCUCAACCAUAGUGUGCUCUGGAAACUGUCUGACUUGAGUGCAGAAGGGGAGAGUGGAAUUCCAUGUGUAGCGGUGAAAUGCGUAGAUAUAUGGAGGAACACCAGUGGCGAAAGCGGCUCUCUGGUCUGUCACUGACGCUGAGGCUCGAAAGCGUGGGUAGCGAACAGGAUUAGAUACCCCUGUAGUC
Molecule: ribosomal RNA, 465 nt
Filed under: Clostridioides difficile
Lineage: Bacteria; Bacillati; Bacillota; Clostridia; Peptostreptococcales; Peptostreptococcaceae
Description: bacterial SSU rRNA
Rfam family: Bacterial small subunit ribosomal RNA
Source: RNAcentral